GACGAACGCUGGCGGCGUGCUUAACACAUGCAAGUCGAACGGAAAGGCCCUGCUUUUGUGGGGUGCUCGAGUGGCGAACGGGUGAGUAACACGUGAGUAACCUGCCCUUGACUUUGGGAUAACUUCAGGAAACUGGGGCUAAUACCGGAUAGGGGCUCCUGCUGCAUGGUGGGGGUUGGAAAGUUUCGGCGGUUGGGGAUGGACUCGCGGCUUAUCAGCUUGUUGGUGGGGUAGUGGCUUACCAAGGCUUUGACGGGUAGCCGGCCUGAGAGGGUGACCGGCCACAGUGGGACUGAGAUACGGCCCAGACUCCUACGGGAGGCAGCAGUGGGGAAUAUUGCACAAUGGGCGGAAGCCUGAUGCAGCAACGCCGCGUGCGGGAUGACGGCCUUCGGGUUGUAAACCGCUUUCGCCUGCGACGAAGCGUGAGUGACGGUAAUGGGUAAAGAAGCACCGGCUAACUACGUG
RNAcentral lists this ribosomal RNA (468 nucleotides) under uncultured bacterium. RNAcentral's name for it is "partial 16S ribosomal RNA". It matches the Rfam family "Bacterial small subunit ribosomal RNA", at positions 28 to 507 of the family's 1533-position model. The record is from RNAcentral.